Molecule: unclassified non-coding RNA, 253 nt
Filed under: uncultured Caryophanales bacterium
Lineage: Bacteria; Bacillati; Bacillota; Bacilli; Caryophanales
Description: uncultured Bacillales bacterium contains 16S-23S intergenic spacer region
Rfam family: Bacterial small subunit ribosomal RNA
Source: RNAcentral
UACGUAGGUGGCAAGCGUUGUCCGGAAUUAUUGGGCGUAAAGCGCGCGCAGGCGGCCUCUUAAGUCUGAUGUGAAAUCUCGCGGCUCAACCGCGAAAGGUCAUUGGAAACUGGGAGACUUGAGUGCAGAAGAGGAGAGUGGAAUUCCACGUGUAGCGGUGAAAUGCGUAGAUAUGUGGAGGAACCCCAGUGGCGAAGGCGACUCUCUGGUCUGUAACUGACGCUGAGGCGCGAAAGCGUGGGGAGCAAACAGG